AUUGUCGAAGCGACGUCAGAGAUGCAGUGAGUUACUGACUUUGAAAACCGCGGCGCGAAAAACGGACAGAAGAAGAACACUUUUACACAUUUCUUUUUUUAUGUACGAGAUAUUCUCGAUGUACAGUUACUCAUUCUUCUCUUGUCUCUCGUAACUUGUGUCGGACGCGCAUGUCUUGCCGCCGUAUAAUUAUCGUUAAAAUAAUAAUUUUUUAGUGUAAAGUAAAAGUGCAAUACUGCAUAGCAGUAUAUUUAUGGUGCGACUGUUAUGUGAAAACGUCAUAGGAAUUAUUGUCAUUAUGAGAAGAGAAGUGCCAGUCAAAACGGCAUCUAUGUUAAAAUUCUUCAUUGUAGUGAACUGUCAUGGAGCCAACAGCUCAAAGAAGAUCUCCAUAAGCAUCAAUUAAAUAAUUUUUUCUUUCAAAGUCAAGUAGCAAAACUGUAUUCACCCUCGGAAGACCUUAAAGAAAGUGCUGAAGAUGGGUUAGGAAUACAGGACACUAUCUAUAGUUUCACUUCUUGUUUUCAGUAUAAUGUAGUCAGGUUACAAGAUAGAUAGAAUUGUGUUAAUGUUUCUCCAGUUCCAAUUUUAUCCGUAAAAGUAAAACUUCUUUGUUUGUGGACUGAAGCAACUUAAGUGAUGCUAACUGGUUUGAAGUAUUAAGUAAUGUGUGGAUAACUAAGCUCAGAAAGGAAGCAUUUACAGUAAACUGCCACAUAACAAGCAGUUUAUCCAUGCUAAAUAUUGUGGUUCACAUCAACAUCAGUCAGCUGCUGAUAUUCUGGGAUACUGAUCUGAAGAAAUGUCUUGUACAUGAACAGAAUCAAAGACCCCACUACCCCAGAAGAAAAAAAUUAUCUGCAACCCUGUACACCAAGCCUGAUAUGAAUCCACUGUUAAACUUCUUGUUUUAAAAAGAAAUCUGAACAAUAAAUACCUCGGUUGAGAUAUGAGGUGAAAGUAUUGUGAUUCAGGUAACUAAUUUCAUCUGAAAGAUAAAUUAAAAUGAUUACUAAAAAUGUCAAUAAGAUGCACAAAUAUAUUUCUGAGUAAUUGUCUUAACAUGUCUGACUUCAUAUUUGCAUUUUUCUAACGAAAUGGAAUCACUUGAUGUGCAAAAAAUAAUAUUAGGUUCAGUUUCUGCUUCAGAUUUUUGUAGUGAUUUUUCCUUUGGCAUUUUUAGCCUUUCUAAUCCCAUUAAACCAUGAUUCAAUCAAUGUAUAAUAAACAGGAUUUGCACGCAAACACAACUGACAUUCUGUGACGGAACUCAAUUUGGGUUCUGAUGAACUGAAUCUUCCAAAAAAUUGAAACUUAUGAAAGAUCAUUUAAGUGCGUAAGUGAAUGGCUCAGAAAGGCAGUUUGAUUGUCAUGUUCUCUCAAAGAUUCUCACAUAGAAACAGUCUGGGGCACGAUCUGUAUACCAAGUGUAUACUUCUUUGUGGUUUUGUGAAAUUGUAGACUUUCAGAAUGUACUGUGGGAGUUAUGUGUUAGGGAUUUCAUACUCAGGAAGAAUUUAUAUAAAUAUACAUACUGCAGACAUUAUGUAGCUGUUUACAUAUGUCUGGAUAAAAAGAUAUUAAUAUUAGUGAAGAAAUGUUUACAAUCACAGCAGCACUUCCUCAUCAUUUAAAGAUACACAAGAGGCCUAUGUGGAAAGUAGGGAAAGAUAUAUUGAUGUAAAUUCAUUGUUAAUGAGAUGGUCAUGAAUAAUCUAUAAUUUGUUAGAAUUUGAAUUACUUGCCUGUCAUUGAAAUUGAUUUUCUCACAUCUUGCAUUUGUAUUGUAGCUAUUUUGUUCAUUUGUCCAAGGAUUUUUUUACAGGAUAUUUGACACAUAAAACUGUACAGAUGUAUAUAAGUAUGUUACUAACAUAAGUACACUACUGUCAUUACAAAAUUACAUGAUAGAAUUAAACACUCCAAUUUUUAGAUUGUAAGGCUUCCUUUGGCAAUUUCUUUCAACUAAAAGUAGCAACAAUAAAAAACUACAACAAGAACACUCAUAUAUAAGAGCCCAUUUUGUCUGUAUCUGUGCUUUAAUUGAAGCAGUGCUUGUUUGGAAAAUGUCUAUCUAAUAAAUAGGUACAAAAUGUGUGUGUUCUUUAACUGGUCCUCAGAUAGACUGACUCAAAUCUUUUAAUUAAUAUUUUGAAGUGUCCGUUAUUUAUACACAUUUUAUUCUAUGUGGUUUAUUGUUGUAGAGGGUGUCCUAUAUUUAUGGCAUAGUUUUGCUAAUUUAACUAUUUUCACCCCAUAAUUGUUCCCAGAAAGAUAGUUCAGGAACAGUUAACGAAUUUCUCCAUAUUCCUGAGCAGGUAUGAUUUGAUAUGAAUAAUUCAGAAUUAAUAGGCCCACUGAAAUUAAUAAAUGUUCCCAGAAAAGUUAUUCAGAAACUAUCGAUGUAUUCCUCCACAUUUUUAUCAGAAAUGAUGUGGUGUGAGUGAUACAGAAUUAACAGGUCACUUAAGUCUACUGAUACCGGAUGUCAUCAUCUUUCCAUGAGGUAUUGAUUUGACAUGUGACAUCAUAAGUGUGCAAUCACAGAGAAAAGGACACUAUUAAGAUUUUAUGUCUACAUAAUGUUUUAGAAUGUAGGAUGUGGAGACAGACUGAUCUGUAGUAUACCUCAAAAUCUAGAAUCCAUUCUCAGAUAACAGUUUAGUUGUAAGAUGACAGGGUAAGAAAUGAGAAUAAAAAACUUUUAGUGGUAGGGAGUAAAUUGAUCUGUAAUGUAGUCCAAGGUCUAUGUUAGGUUGAAUGGUGAGAAUUUUUGUGAGUUGGCAAAGUGCUAUCAAUGGCUUCAAUUGAUCUGUAUUAAUAAACAUAACUUGUUAGACACAACAGUAAAGAACUGUGUGUGUGUGUGUGUGUGUGUGUGUGUGUGUGUGUGUUGUAGGGAAUAGACCCAUUGUCUUCUCUUUAUUUUUAAGGUAUCUUAAGUGCCAUUUUAUGUAAGGCUUUAAAUCAUUAUGGCACAUAAUAAACGAUUAAUUUUUCCAC
Long non-coding RNA from Schistocerca gregaria, 3003 nucleotides. RefSeq lists it as uncharacterized. The record is from RefSeq and is a predicted model, not a curated record. The transcript is spliced from 3 exons. NCBI's taxonomy places the organism in Eukaryota, Metazoa, Arthropoda, Insecta, Orthoptera, Acrididae.